This 253-nucleotide unclassified non-coding RNA is filed under the name uncultured Moraxellaceae bacterium. RNAcentral's name for it is "contains 16S-23S intergenic spacer region". It matches the Rfam family "Bacterial small subunit ribosomal RNA", at positions 524 to 776 of the family's 1533-position model. Lineage: Bacteria; Pseudomonadati; Pseudomonadota; Gammaproteobacteria; Moraxellales; Moraxellaceae. The record is from RNAcentral.
UACGGAGGGGGCGAGCGUUAAUCGGAUUUACUGGGCGUAAAGCGCGCGUAGGCGGCUGUCUAAGUCGGAUGUGAAAUCCCCGAGCUUAACUUGGGAAUUGCAUUCGAUACUGGGAAGCUAGAGUAUGGGAGAGGAUGGUAGAAUUCCAGGUGUAGCGGUGAAAUGCGUAGAGAUCUGGAGGAAUACCGAUGGCGAAGGCAGCCAGCUGGCCUAAUACUGACGCUGAGGUACGAAAGCAUGGGGAGCAAACAUA